RNAcentral lists this long non-coding RNA (675 nucleotides) under Physcomitrium patens. Its description in RNAcentral is "long non-coding RNA (PPAT_LNC011322)". The record is from RNAcentral. Lineage: Eukaryota; Viridiplantae; Streptophyta; Bryopsida; Funariales; Funariaceae.
ACAAAAUCUUAAUUCUAAUAGAAUACUAACAAUGCUCUAAUUAGACUAUAAUAAUGGUAAACAAACGUAAUCAAAUUCAAAACAACUCAAAGAAAUUUCAAACAAACAAUAAAAUUCUUAAAAAAAUAUUAGAAUGAUCACAAAUAUUACUCAAAUAUAUGUCAAUUCAACCUUAAUUUAAUUCUAGUUAAAAUCCUAUUGAAUUUUACUCAAACUUUAGACCAAACCUAAUUAAAACUUAAAUCCUAAUAAAUCCUAAACCCUAAGUCAAAUCCUAAACAAAUCUUAAAUUAAACCCUAAAUCAAACCCUAUUUCAAACCCUAAAGCCUAAACCAAAUCCUAAAUCAACCCUAAACUCUAAUCCAAACUCUAAAUCCUAAACCAAAACUUAAAUCAAAUCCUAAUCAAAUCCUAAUCCAAACCCUAAAUCAAACCCUAACCAAAUCCUAAACCCUAAUCCAAACCCUAAAUCAAAUCCUAACCAAAUCCUAAAUCCUAAUCAAAUCCUAAACCCUAAUCCAAACCCUAAUCCAACCCUAAAUCCUAACCAAACCCUAAUCCAAAUCCUAAAUCAAACCCUAACCAAAUCCUAAAUCCUAAUCUAAACCCUAAUCCAAUCCUAAACCCUAACCAAACCCUAAAUCCUAAUCCAAAACCUAAUCCAAACCCUAAAU